AGUGAACGCUGGCGGUAGGCCUAACACAUGCAAGUCGAACGGCAGCACAGUAAGAGCUUGCUCUUACGGGUGGCGCGUGGCGGACGGGUGAGGAAUACAUCGGAAUCUACUUUUUCGUGGGGGCUAACGUAGGGAAACUUACGCUAAUACCGCAUACUACCUACGGGUGAAAGCAUGGGAUCUUCGGACCUUGCGCGAUUGAAUGAGCCGAUGUCGGAUUAGCUAGUUGGCGGGGUAAAGGCCCACCAAGGCGACGAUCCGUAGCUGGUCUGAGAGGAUGAUCAGACACACUGGAAGUGAGACACGGUCCAGACUCCUACGGGAGGCAGCAGUGGGGAAUAUUGGACAAGGGGCGCAAGCCUGAUCCAGCCAUACCGCGUGGGUGAAGAAGGCCUUCGGGUUGUAAAGCCCUUUUGUUGGGAAAGAAAAGCAGCAGGUUAAUACGCCGCUGUUCUGACGGUACCCAAAGAAUAAGCACCGGCUAACUUCG
RNAcentral lists this ribosomal RNA (490 nucleotides) under uncultured bacterium. Its description in RNAcentral is "partial 16S ribosomal RNA". It matches the Rfam family "Bacterial small subunit ribosomal RNA", at positions 29 to 505 of the family's 1533-position model. The record is from RNAcentral.